RNAcentral lists this ribosomal RNA (507 nucleotides) under uncultured bacterium. Its description in RNAcentral is "partial 16S ribosomal RNA". It matches the Rfam family "Bacterial small subunit ribosomal RNA", at positions 28 to 507 of the family's 1533-position model. The record is from RNAcentral.
GACGAACGCUGGCGGCGUGCCUAAUACAUGCAAGUCGAACGCAUUUUCUUUCACCGUAGCUUGCUACACCGAAAGAAAAUGAGUGGCGAACGGGUGAGUAACACGUGGGUAACCUGCCCAUCAGCGGGGGAUAACACUUGGAAACAGGUGCUAAUACCGCAUAAUUCCAUUUACCGCAUGGUAAAUGGAUGAAAGGCGCUUUUGCGUCACUGAUGGAUGGACCCGCGGUGCAUUAGCUAGUUGGUGGGGUAACGGCCUACCAAGGCUGCGAUGCAUAGCCGACCUCAAAGGGUGAUCGGCCACACUGGGACUGAGACACGGCCCAGACUCCUACGGGAGGCAGCAGUCGGGAAUCUUCGGCAAUGGACGCAAGUCUGACCGAGCAACGCCGCGUGAGUGAAGAAGGUUUUCGGAUCGUAAAACUCUGUUGUUAGAGAAGAUCAAGGAUGAGAGUGGAAAGUUCAUCCCUUGACGGUAUCUAACCAGAAAGCCACGGCUAACUACGUG